UUAUGCAUAAACAAUUAACCUAAUUAAUUUAACCAUGGUAUAAAAGGUAACGCAAUUCGAAACCCCACCUAUUAUCCUGAUUGUCGCGUUUAACAAUCAGCAAAAAUGUCCUACCUAACACUGGUUGUGUUUGCUGUGCUUGCCUGUUCAGUAUACUCUCAACGUAUGGACCAAAGAAUGGAUGUUUGUGAAAUCAUCCGUGUCGAUAAAGGAGAUCGAUUCGGGACAAGGGGAACUUGUUGCGUAACAUGGGAUGACCAAAUCGCCGGGGAAGAAAAGGACUAUUUACGGGAUUACUGGGUGGAUUGGGCUUUGGUGCUGGAGUAAGCGGAUACCUAAAUGACAGCAAAGGUCGCAACAUUAAAGGUGGAAUUGGAGGAACAGUUGGUUUUGGAUUGGGCGGUGGUGGAGAUGAUGACCCUCCACCACCAUCGGUAGUACCUGUACCAGUAGCAGUACCAGGACCAGCAGCUCCAGCAUACCCACCUCCGGCAUAUUCUCCGGGGUAUCCUGCUGCGUAUCCUCCACCUGGAUAUUAUUAAUACACAGAAAAUAAAAUAUUGGUCGACUUCCA
This is a long non-coding RNA of Dalotia coriaria, 574 nucleotides long. RefSeq lists it as uncharacterized. The record is from RefSeq and is a predicted model, not a curated record. Lineage: Eukaryota; Metazoa; Arthropoda; Insecta; Coleoptera; Staphylinidae. The transcript has 2 exons.